GGUUCUAUGGUGCAAUGGUUAGCACUCUGGACUUUGAAUCCAGCAAUCCGAGUUCGAGUCUCGGUAGAACCU
This 72-nucleotide transfer RNA is filed under the name Oxytricha trifallax. It matches the Rfam family "tRNA". From Rfam's summary of the family: Transfer RNA (tRNA) molecules are approximately 80 nucleotides in length. Their secondary structure includes four short double-helical elements and three loops (D, anti-codon, and T loops). Lineage: Eukaryota; Ciliophora; Spirotrichea; Sporadotrichida; Oxytrichidae. The record is from Rfam by way of RNAcentral.